AUACCACUUAUGAAAGUGUCUCAUGAUGAUUCCGUAUGUUUUAUGCUGUUCACACUGCUCACAGAUGACACAUCCCUGUCACGUGACAGACAGAUCACGUUCAGCUGCUGUGUGAACGUAAAUCAUGCUGAAUCUCACGCGCGUGCUGCUGAUGAUUUUACUAAGAUCAGCCGCUUGCCAAGUCGUAGUGUGAAGCAGCCGGGAGAAGAAUAACGCCGGUCAGACGCAGACAGGUAGUCUGACCAGAGGAGGAUGGGUCCCCCGAGCCUUGGUUUCUCCCAAGGUUUCUUCUUCCAGCUCAGGUGGAAGGAUGCAAGUCAACCUUAUCUGGGAAGGGCUGCCCACGCUCAGCGGUGCCUCCUCACACAGCAGACAGGAUGAACAGACGAAUAGAAAUGCUUCAAAAAUCUUCACAAUCUUUUUACACUGACUUCAACGGUUUUUUUUUUUUU
Molecule: long non-coding RNA, 452 nt
Organism: Astyanax mexicanus (Mexican tetra)
Lineage: Eukaryota; Metazoa; Chordata; Actinopteri; Characiformes; Acestrorhamphidae
Exons: 4
Source: RefSeq, a predicted model, not a curated record